RNAcentral lists this ribosomal RNA (253 nucleotides) under uncultured bacterium. RNAcentral describes it as "partial 16S ribosomal RNA". It matches the Rfam family "Bacterial small subunit ribosomal RNA", at positions 524 to 776 of the family's 1533-position model. The record is from RNAcentral.
UACGAAGGGGGCUAGCGUUGCUCGGAAUUACUGGGCGUAAAGCGCACGUAGGCGGCUUUCUAAGUCGGGGGUGAAAUCCUGGAGCUCAACUCCAGAACUGCCUUCGAUACUGGAAAGCUCGAGUCCGGGAGAGGUGAGUGGAACUGCGAGUGUAGAGGUGAAAUUCGUAGAUAUUGGGUGGAACACCGGUGGCGAAAGCGGCUCUCUGGCCCGGUUCUGACGCUGAGGCGCGAAAGCGUGGGGAGCAAACAGG